This 491-nucleotide ribosomal RNA is filed under the name uncultured bacterium. RNAcentral describes it as "bacterial SSU rRNA". It matches the Rfam family "Bacterial small subunit ribosomal RNA", at positions 1 to 507 of the family's 1533-position model. The record is from RNAcentral.
CUACGAGUUUGAUCAUGGCUCAGGAUGAACGCUAGCGGCAGGCUUAAUACAUGCAAGUCAAGGGGGUAGCAAUACAACCGGCGCACGGGUGAGUAACGCGUACACAACAUACCAUAUACUGGAGUAUAGCUUUGGGAAACUGAAGGUAAUCCUCCAUAACAUUGCGAGAGGGCAUCUGGUUGCAAUUAAAGUUUCGGCGGUAUAUGAUUGGUGUGCGUUUGAUUAGCUAGUUGGUAGGGUAACGGCCUACCAAGGCGACGAUCAAUAGCUGGCGUGAGAGCGCGACCAGCCACACUGGAACUGAGACACGGUCCAGACUCCUACGGGAGGCAGCAGUAGGGAAUAUUGGACAAUGGAGGAAACUCUGAUCCAGCCAUGCCGCGUGAUAGAUGAAGGCCCUCUGGGUUGUAAAUAUCUUUUAUCUGGGAAGAAACACUCCUAUUCUUAGGAACUUGACGGUACCAGAGGAAUAAGCACCGGCUAACUCCGUG